ACUCAAAUGAAUUGACGGGGGCCCGCACAAGCGGUGGAGCAUGUGGUUUAAUUCGAUGCAACGCGAAGAACCUUACCUACUUUUGACAUCCUAAGAAUCUUGCAGAGAUGUGAGAGUGCCGAAAGGAAUUUAGAGACAGGUGCUGCAUGGCUGUCGUCAGCUCGUGUUGUGAGAUGUUGGGUUAAGUCCCGUAACGAGCGCAACCCUUAUCCUUAGUUGCCAGCGCGUAAAGGCGGGGACUCUAAGGAGACUGCUGGUGAAGAACCGGAGGAAGGCGGGGACGACGUCAAGUCAUCAUGGCCUUUAUAAGUAGGGCUACACACGUGCUACAAUGGUUGGUACAGAGGGCAGCGAAACUGCAAAGUGAAGCCAAUCCCGAAAAGCCAAUCGUAGUCCGGAUCGGAGUCUGCAACUCGACUCCGUGAAGUCGGAAUCGCUAGUAAUCGCGAAUCAGAAUGUUGCGGUGAAUACGUUCCCGGGCCUUGCACACACCGCCCGU
This 499-nucleotide ribosomal RNA is filed under the name uncultured bacterium. RNAcentral's name for it is "partial 16S ribosomal RNA". It matches the Rfam family "Bacterial small subunit ribosomal RNA", at positions 899 to 1397 of the family's 1533-position model. The record is from RNAcentral.